UCCGAAUCUAGUCGUCCGUGGAUUGCUAAGGGCUGUCACUAGGUGGCUAAAUAUUUCAGUGUGUUUAGGGAUUGAACUAUUCGACCCUAGUGCGUCAAAGCCCUGACUGCAGAUUCCUGUCUUUUCUUUCCAGACGGUGUCCGAGAACGUUGGGCGAGGCAUUGCGAGGUAAUUGUGUUCCUGAAAGUGUUCGUCAGAAAAAUGGUAACUACCUGUAUUCUAUAUGGUUAUCGAAAAUGAGAUUUUUGUGCGUGGUGAAUUUACAAGUAACAUGUUCAUCAACGUGUACAAUCCCAUCAUCAUGUGUUCUGCUGUAUAAUUUCCUAAAAUGUCGUCACUUGCUUUACGUUGCACGUUUCGUCACAAGAUGAGGUAUUUCCACGCCAUUCGUCUUCGAUCAAGCUGAACCGAAAGUGAACUAAUAUAAAGCAACAUAUCGAAGAUCGUGCCUUUAUCCACGUGGUCGCUGCCGUGUCAUGAAGAAGUUGAGAGGGUCUCUUCUUUAUUGCAAGACAAAUGUGAUGAAAAGAAGAAAUCUGAGAAGACAGCAAUUGUGGAAAGAUAUGUCAGUUUGUAAUCGAUCAGAAGAGACAUUCCCUUAACUUUUAAAAGUAAUCUUAGUGUGAUGUAAACUGUAGCCUUAGCCAGAAAAUGUUAAUUUUUCGUGUUCGGUUUUCCAAAUUUCUUCAUUCAGUCGAGAUGCACUUGGCUUCUGCAGACAUUUACUCGAGCCAAUACUUGCUAGAAUAAUAAUCUGUCUUUUCAAUGAUUGAUUAUAUAAUUUAAUGCCAAGGAAGUUUUGUUGCAGCCAACUGAUGAAAGGGAGUUAAAAUUAAGUUGAGCUGCAGCCCCUGGAAGCAGUCUAUAUUACUGGUGUCAUCCUGAAGUGGUGAAAUGUUACCUGAAGUUCAACAGCAACAAAGACAUCUUGAAAUGGUAAUUUGAUUGUGAUUAUGGGACUUGGAACUGGGGAUGUCCCAUGAAAUCCAAUUUAAAUGUUGUAAUGGGACUACAGUAUUGUUAAAAAAUAGAUGCCUGCCUGAUCAGCUUGUGCUGAGGUGAAAUUUUCUUUGUGAUGAAACAAGAAAUUCCCUUGGAAAAGAAACUUUUGGUGCAACCUUGUCACAACGUGACGCAUUUUACGUGUGUUGGUAAUUUAGGGGCAUGUGUCGAGCAGAAGGAAGACGAGUGACAUUUUAAUUCUUUCUGGGACGCUGUUCGAGGGCGUUUUUUUUUAAAAGUUAUUUCUGGGUGAUGUCAUCUAAAAGGUGUUUCCUGCUUGAAUUCUAUUAGGUUAUUUAGAAAUCAAAAAUGUAACUGUUUGGUGUGGUAAAUUUACAGGUAACAUGUCCUUGGCUCAUUUGAUCAUGUGGCCUGCUGUACAUUUUCCAAAAAUGUCGUCCCUUGGUGCAUGACACACGUUUUGUCACAUGAAUAGGUAUCUCCACGCCAUUCGACCAAACUGAACCGAAAGUGAAUCAUUUCAAGCAACAUGUUGAAUAUUUUGCCUUUCUCCAUGGGUCCAUGGGCUGUGUCAUGAAGAUGGAUCUUUGAGAGGGUCACUACUGCAUUGCAAGACAGAAUGAUGAAAAGAGGGAAAAUAUUAAGGUAAAAGAAUCCUUUCCUUACCUGCUGAAGAAUUUGAGAACACAGCAAAGUCUGGACCACAUUUCUGUCAUGCAGGAGGUUUUGCUGCUGCAGCCAGCCAUUGAAAGGGAGUUUAAAUGAAGUUGAGUUGAAGCUCCUGGAAGCAGUCUACAUUGCUGGUGUCAUCCUAAAGUUAAACAGCAACACAGAUAAGCUGCAGUGUCAAUGUGAUGCUGCAUACUGUCAAUGGAGCUGGUGUUAUCCACAAGUUUAGAAGCAAAACUAGAAGCACAGCUGCAAGAACACAUCUCGAAAUGGAUGGUGGAAAUUUGCCGUGGUUUUGCAGUCUGCUGCCUGUUCAAGCUGUUGCUAUCCUGGAUUUUGCCUUAAUCCUUGAAAUAGCAGAUGUUGGUGGCAUCCAGAUGUUGCUGUGGCAGUGUGGCAGUGAAAUUCGGGUUGAAGAUUAAAAUACUUUCGUCUGAUAAAUGUUUAUCGAUCCAUGUAGCGUAUGAUUGAAGUAACUUGAUAUUAAUUUGCUAUUCCAUGUCACAUGUUGCAGCCUGUGUUGGUGAGAGUUCUUUGACACUAAGUUCUAUCUGCUGUUGAUGUUGGAUAUGAUAUUACCUUUAUCCACAUCCACAUGAUAUCAAAUUAUUCCUUAUUAAUUGAUGGCCAAACCUCCUAAGUCAAACCUGCAAUCUUGUGUUAUGUCAACUUCAUUGUUUAUAUCUUAUCACAUUUCACUUGUAAUCUAUAUAAAUAUAAAUAAUACCCAAAUUAAAAAAUACCAAUCAACUGAAAUGCUUUAAAUAGAAUGAAAUAAAUCUAAAUA
This is an RNA transcript of Daphnia pulex (common water flea), 2419 nucleotides long. RefSeq lists it as uncharacterized. The record is from RefSeq and is a predicted model, not a curated record. NCBI's taxonomy places the organism in Eukaryota, Metazoa, Arthropoda, Branchiopoda, Diplostraca, Daphniidae. The transcript has 9 exons.